GGAUGUAAGGGUGAUCUGGCUGCAACAUCUGUCAUCCCACUGAUCACCAGGGUUGAUUUGACUGGCCUGGCUGGCUAGGUGGGUGUCCCCUUCAUCUCUCACUGCUCCUUGUGCAUCCCCCCCAAGCUGCAAGCUACAUACAGCUUCAAGGAAGAAGGACAACCCCAUAGGACAGUUUCCUAGGUCAAGGGUAUAUAAGUAGCUGCACUCCCAUUAAAACCUACAAACUCUUAAGGCCCAAAACAUAAGCAAAGAUGGAGACACUGUCACAGUCCAGAGGAAACUAACUAAAUAUGAUGACUAAAUGCAAUGUGGUGUAGUAAAUU
This 326-nucleotide small nuclear RNA is filed under the name Octodon degus (degu). RNAcentral describes it as "7SK RNA (ENSODEG00000022958.1)". The stretch from base 1 to 273 matches the Rfam family "7SK RNA". Rfam says of the family: 7SK was discovered as an abundant small nuclear RNA in the mid-70s but a possible function has only recently been suggested. Two independent studies have found that 7SK RNA binds the CDK9/cyclin T complex (known as elongation factor P-TEFb). P-TEFb activates transcription by phosphorylating the C-terminal domain of RNA polymerase II. The record is from RNAcentral. Lineage: Eukaryota; Metazoa; Chordata; Mammalia; Rodentia; Octodontidae.